RNAcentral lists this microRNA (19 nucleotides) under Schistosoma mansoni. RNAcentral's name for it is "sma-miR-8463-5p". The record is from miRBase by way of RNAcentral. Lineage: Eukaryota; Metazoa; Platyhelminthes; Trematoda; Strigeidida; Schistosomatidae.
GUCGGUGAACCGAAUCAAU